GCGCGGGUCUCCAGAGCCUGAGCUAGUCAGAAGUAACAGUUGCUACUGCGUCCCCCGGACACUGGGAGAAUCGUUUUCCUUGGGCAGCUGGUUCCAGACCCCCACCAGUCCUCUAGACUCCAGGCCAAUCAGUUGCUAAGGGACGUUCCUCUCUCAACCUGCACUUAUCAACAUUUUAAACUAUAAAUUCGUCUGCAUUUCUUCAUCGUCUAUCUAUGUGGACCAUGACUCCACAGAGGCAGGAUGGAUGUCGCCCCAGCUGCCUUCUGGCUGACCAGGUGACUGACGUGGUGAGGCUGAGGAACGCUGGCUCCUGGCGAACUCCCUGACUAUGCUUAAUCUCACCGCCUGACUGUUCAGAUUUAGCCUCUGUCUGACCAAAGGGCUCUCAGGGGCCUCACUGGCACGAGAGCCGCCCUGGUGGCCUAACAGACCUGCGGCUGCCCCAUGGCCCAAGGAUCCGCUGACUGACGCUGACUGGAAGCCCAGUUAGUGCAGGUUCAAUGAAGGAACACAACAACCGCCAACAACUGCCAGGGACCCAAC
Molecule: non-coding RNA, 546 nt
Filed under: Pan troglodytes (chimpanzee)
Lineage: Eukaryota; Metazoa; Chordata; Mammalia; Primates; Hominidae
Source: RNAcentral